RNAcentral lists this long non-coding RNA (20088 nucleotides) under Xyrichtys novacula (pearly razorfish). The record is from RNAcentral. Lineage: Eukaryota; Metazoa; Chordata; Actinopteri; Labriformes; Labridae.
CCUCAAAAUCUAAUACCCGGGUAUUACAUUCAGGAACCCCGAAAACCCCAAAUAUUGUUUUUUAAUUUUUCAUUUUUUUUUGGUCUAACUAACUCCAAAAGGUUGGAAAAGAGUUCCUACAAAGGUUUUGGACAGUGAUUUUAACCCUAACGCCAAAAACCUUAAACCUUACCCUAGCCCCAUAACCUAAUUCCCGGGUAUUACCUUCAGGAAGCCCGAACACCCCAAAUAUUUGUUUUUCAUUUUACAUUUUUGUUGGUGUAACCAACUCCAAAAGGUUGGAAAAGAGUUCCUACAAAGGUUUUGGACAGUGAUUUUAACCCUAACCCCUAAAAAUUUAAACCUUACCCUGGCAUUAAAAUCUAAUACCCGGGUAUUACAUUAAGGAAGCCUGAACACCCCAAAUAUUUCUUUUUCAUUUUUUAUUUUUUUUUGUCUAACUAACUCCAAAAGGUUGGAAAAGAGUUCCUACAAAGGUUUUGGACAGUGAUUUUAACCCUAACGCCAAAAACCUUAAACCUUUCCCUAGUCCCAAAACCUAAUACCCGGGUAUUACUUUCAGGGAGCCCGGAAACCCCCAAUAAUAUUUUUUUCUUUUUUCAUAUUUUUUUGGUCUAACUAACUCCAAAAGGUUGGAAAAGAGUUCCUACAAAGGUUUUGGACAGUGAUUUUAACCCUAACGCCAAAAACCUUAAACCUUACCCUAGCCUUAAAAUCUACCUUCGGGCUACCUUCAGGAAGCCCGAACACCCCAAAUAUUUUUUUCUUCAUUUUACAUUUUUGUUGGUGUAACCAACUCCAAAAGGUUGGAAAAGAGUUCCUACAAAGGUUUUGGACAGUGAUAUUAACCCUAACGCCAAAAACCUUAAAACUUACCAUAGCCCCAUAACCUAAUUCCCAGGUAUUACCUUCAGGAAGCCCGAACACCCCAAAUAUUUUUUUUUUCAUUUUUCAUUCUUUUUUGGUCUAACCAACUCCAAAAGGUUGGAAAAGAGUUCCUACAAAGGUUUUGGACAGUGAUUUUAACCCUAACGCCAAAAACCUUAAACCUUACCAUAGCCCCAUAACCUAAUACCCGGGUAUUACUUUUAGGAAGCCUGAACACCCCAAAUAUUUUUUUUUCAUUUUUCUUUUUUUUUUGGUCUAACUAACUCCAAAAGGUUGGAAAAGAGUUCCUACAAAGGUUUUGGACAGUGAUUUUAACCCUAACGCCAAAAACCUUAAAACUUACCCUAGCCCCAUAACCUAAUACCCGGGUAUUACUUUCAGGAAGCCCGAAAACCCCAAAUAUAUUUUUUUUCAUUUUUCUUUUUUUUUUGGUCUAACUAACUCCAAAAGGUUGGAAAAGAGUUCCUACAAAGGUUUUGGACAGUGAUUUUAACCCUAACGCCAAAAACCUUAAACCUUUCCCCAGUCCCAAAACCUAAUACCCGGGUAUUACCUUCAGGAAGCCCGAACACCCCAAAUAUUUGUUUUUCAUUUUACAUUUUUGUUGGUGUAACCAACUCCAAAAGGUUGGAAAAGAGUUCCUACAAAGGUUUUGGACAGUGAUUUUAACCCUAACGCCAAAAAACUUAAACCUUACCAUAGCUCCAUAACCUAAUACCCUGGGUAUUACUUUUAGGAAGCCUGAACACCCCAAAUAUUUUUUUUUAUUUUUCUUUUUUUUUUGGUCUAACUAACUCCAAAAGGUUGGAAAAGAGUUCCUACAAAGGUUUUGGACAGUGAUUUUAACCCUAACGCCAAAAAACUUAAACCUUACCCUAGCCCCAUAACCUAAUACCUGGGUAUUACUUUUAGGAAGCCUGAACACCCCAAAUAUUUUUUUUUUCAUUUUUCAUUUUUUUUUGGUCUAACCAACUCCAAAAGGUUGGAAAAGAGUUCCUACAAAGGUUUUGGACAGUGAUUUUAACCCUAACGCCAAAAACCUUAAACCUUACCGUAGCCUUAAAAUCUAAUACCCGGGUAUUACUUUCAGGAAGCCCGAACACCCCAAAUAUUUUUUUUUUCAUUUUACAUUUUUUUUGGUGUAACCAACUCCAAAAGGUUGGAAAAGAGUUCCUACAAAGGUUUUGGACAGUGAUUUUAACCCUAACGCCAAAAACCUUAAACCUUACCCUAGCCUUAAAAUCUAAUACCCGGGUAUUACAUUCAGGAACCCCGAAAACCCCAAAUAUAUUUUUUUUCUUUUUUCAUUUUUUUUGGUCUAACUAACUCCAAAAGGUUGGAAAAGAGUUCCUACAAAGGUUUUGGACAGUGAUUUUAACCCUAACGCCAAAAACCUUAAACCUUACCCUAGCCUUAAAAUCUACCUUCGGGCUACCUUCAGGAAGCCCGAACACCCCAAAUAUUUUUUUCUUCAUUUUACAUUUUUGUUGGUGUAACCAACUCCAAAAGGUUGGAAAAGAGUUCCUACAAAGGUUUUGGACAGUGAUUUUAACCCUAACGCCAAAAACCUUAAACCUUACCCUAGCCUUGAAAUCUAAUACCCGGGUAUUACCUUCAGGAAGCCUGAACACCCCAAAUAUUUUUUUCUUUUUUCAUAUUUUUUGGUCUAACUAACUCCAAAAGGUUGGAAAAGAGUUCCUACAAAGGUUUUGGACAGUGAUUUUAACCCUAACGCCAAAAACCUUAAACCUUUCCCCAGUCCCAAAACCUAAUACCCGGGUAUUACCUUCAGGAAGCCCGAACACCCCAAAUAUUUUUUUUUCAUUUUACAUUUUUUUUGGUCUAACUAACUCCAAAAGGUUGGAAAAGAGUUCCUACAAAGGUUUUGGACAGUGAUUUUAACCCUAACGCCAAAAACCUUAAACCUUUCCCCAGUCCCAAAACCUAAUACCCGGGUAUUACCUUCAGGAAGCCCGAACACCCCAAAUAUUUUUUUUUCAUUUUACAUUUUUUUUGGUCUAACUAACUCCAAAAGGUUGGAAAAGAGUUCCUACAAAGGUUUUGGACAGUGAUUUUAACCCUAACGCCAAAAACCUUAAACCUUACCCUAGCCUUAAAAUCUAAUACCCGGGUAUUACAUUCAGGAAGCCCGAAAACCCCAAAUAUUGUUUUUUCAUUUUUCAUUUUUUUUGGUCUAACUAACUCCAAAAGGUUGGAAAAGAGUUCCUACAAAGGUUUUGGACAGUGAUUUUAACCCUAACGCCAAAAACCUUAAACCUUACCCUAGCCUUAAAAUCUACCUUCGGGCUACCUUCAGGAAGCCCGAACACCCCAAAUAUUUUUUUCUUCAUUUUACAUUUUUGUUGGUGUAACCAACUCCAAAAGGUUGGAAAAGAGUUCCUACAAAGGUUUUGGACAGUGAUUUUAACCCUAACGCCAAAAACCUUAAACCUUACCCUAGCCUUGAAAUCUAAUACCCGGGUAUUACCUUCAGGAAGCCUGAACACCCCAAAUAUUUUUUUCAUUUUUCAUAUUUUUUGGUCUAACUAACUCCAAAAGGUUGGAAAAGAGUUCCUACAAAGGUUUUGGACAGUGAUUUUAACCCUAACGCCAAAAACCUUAAACCUUUCCCCAGUCCCAAAACCUAAUACCCGGGUAUUACCUUCAGGAAGCCCGAACACCCCAAAUAUUUGUUUUUCAUUUUACAUUUUUGUUGGUGUAACCAACUCCAAAAGGUUGGAAAAGAGUUCCUACAAAGGUUUUGGACAGUGAUUUUAACCCUAACGCCAAAAACCUUAAACCUUACCCCAGUCCCAAAACCUAAUACCCGGGUAUUACCUUCAGGAAGCCCGAACACCCCAAAUAUUUUUUUUUCAUUUUACAUUUUUGUUGGUGUAACUAACUCCAAAAGGUUGGAAAAGAGUUCCUACAAAGGUUUUGGACAGUGAUUUUAACCCUAAUGCCAAAAAACUUAAACCUUACCCUAGCCUUGAAAUCUAAUACCCGGGUAUUACCUUCAGGAAGCCUGAACACCCCAAAUAUUUUUUUCUUCAUUUUUCAUUUUUUUUUUUGGUCUAACCAACUCCAAAAGGUUGGAAAAGAGUUCCUACAAAGGUUUUGGACAGUGAUUUUAACCCUAACGCCAAAAAACCUUAAACCUUACCCUAGCCUCAAAAUCUAAUACCCGGGUAUUACAUUCAGGAACCCCGAAAACCCCAAAUAUUGUUUUUUAAUUUUUCAUUUUUUUUUGGUCUAACUAACUCCAAAAGGUUGGAAAAGAGUUCCUACAAAGGUUUUGGACAGUGAUUUUAACCCUAACGCCAAAAAACUUAAACCUUACCAUAGCCCCAUAACCUAAUACCUGGGUAUUACUUUUAGGAAGCCUGAACACCCCAAAUAUUUUUUUUUCAUUUUUCUUUUUUUUUUGGUCUAACCAACUCCAAAAGGUUGGAAAAGAGUUCCUACAAAGGUUUUGGACAGUGAUUUUAACCCUAACGCCAAAAAACUUAAACCUUACCCUGGCCUUAAAAUCUAAUACCUGGGUAUUACUUUCAGGAAGCCCGAACACCCCAAAUAUUUUUUUUUUUUCAUUUUUCUUUUUUUUUUUGGUCUAACUAACUCCAAAAGGUUGGAAAAGAGUUCCUACAAAGGUUUUGGACAGUGAUUUUAACCCUAAUGCCAAAAAACUUAAACCUUACCCUAGCCUUAAAAUCUAAUACCCGGGUAUUACAUUCAGGAAGAAAACCCCAAAUAUUGUUUUUUCAUUUUUCAUUUUUUUUUUGGUCUAACUAACUCCAAAAGGUUGGAAAAGAGUUCCUACAAAGGUUUUGGACAGUGAUUUUAACCCUAACGCCAAAAACCUUAAACCUUACCAUAGCCCCAUAACCUAAUACCCGGGUAUUACUUUUAGGAAGCCUGAACACCCCAAAUAUUUUUUUUUCAUUUUUUUUUUUUUUUUGGUCUAACUAACUCCAAAAGGUUGGAAAAGAGUUCCUACAAAGGUUUUGGACAGUGAUUUUAACCCUAACGCCAAAAAACUUAAACCUUACCCGAGCCUUAAAAUCUAAUACCGGGUAUUACCUUCAGGAAGCCCGAACACCCCAAAUAUUUUUUUUUCAUUUUACAUUUUUUUUGGUCUAACCAACUCCAAAAGGUUGGAAAAGAGUUCCUACAAAGGUUUUGGACAGUGAUUUUAACCCUAACGCCAAAAACCUUAAACCUUACCCUAGCCUUGAAAUCUAAUACCCGGGUAUUACCUUCAGGAAGCCUGAACACCCCAAAUAUUUUUUUUUUUUUUUCAUUUUUUUUGGUCUAACUAACUCCAAAAGGUUGGAAAAGAGUUCCUACAAAGGUUUUGGACAGUGAUUUUAACCCUAACGCCAAAAAACUUAAACCUUACCCUAGCCUUAAAAUCUAAUACCCGGGUAUUACCUUCAGGAAGCCCGAACACCCCAAAUAUUUUUUUUUCAUUUUACUUUUUUGUUGGUCUAACCAACUCCAAAAGGUUGGAAAAGAGUUCCUACAAAGGUUUUGGACAGUGAUUUUAACCCUAACGCCAAAAAACUUAAACCUUACCCUAGCCUUAAAAUCUAAUUCCCGGGUAUUACCUUCAGGAAGCCCAAACACCCCAAAUAUUUUUUUUUUCAUUUUACAUUUUUGUUGGUGUAACCAACUCCAAAAGGUUGGAAAAGAGUUCCUACAAAGGUUUUGGACAGUGAUUUUAACCCUAACGCCAAAAACCUUAAACCUUUCCCUAGCCCCAAAACUUAAUACUCGGGUAUUACUUCCAGGAAGCCCGAAAACCCCAAAUAUUUUUUUUUUCAUUUUUCAUUUUUGUUGGUGUAACCAACUCCAAAAGGUUGGAAAAGAGUUCCUACAAAGGUUUUGGACAGUGAUUUUAACCCUAACGCCAAAAAACUUAAACCUUACCCUAGCCUUAAAAUCUAAUACCCGGGUAUUACAUUCAGGAAGCCCGAAAACCCCAAAUAUAUAUUUUUUCAUUUUUCAUUUUUUUUUGGUCUAACUAACUCCAAAAGGUUGGAAAAGAGUUCCUACAAAGGUUUUGGACAGUGAUUUUAACCCUAACGCCAAAAAACUUAAACCUUACCCUAGCCUUAAAAUCUAAUACCCAGGUUACAUUCAGGAAGCCCGAAAACCCCAAAUAUUUUUUUUUCAUUUUUCAUUUUUUUUUUGGUCUAACUAACUCCAAAAGGUUGGAAAAGAGUUCCUACAAAGGUUUUGGACAGUGAUUUUAACCCUAACGCCAAAAACCUUAAACCUUACCAUAGCCCCAUAACCUAAUACCCAGGUAUUACUUUUAGGAAGCCUGAACACCCCAAAUAUUUUUUUUUCAUUUUUCAUUUUUUUUUGGUCUAACUAACUCCAAAAGGUUGGAAAAGAGUUCCUACAAAGGUUUUGGACAGUGAUUUUAACCCUAACGCCAAAAAACUUAAACCUUACCCUAGCCUUAAAAUCUAAUACCCGGGUAUUACCUUCAGGAAGCCCGAACACCCCAAAUAUUUUUUUUUUCAUUUUACAUUUUUUUUGGUCUAACCAACUCCAAAAGGUUGGAAAAGAGUUCCUACAAAGGUUUUGGACAGUGAUUUUAACCCUAACGCCAAAAACCUUAAACCUUACCCUAGCCUUGAAAUCUAAUACCCGGGUAUUACCUUCAGGAAGCCUGAACACCCCAAAUAUUUUUUUUUCUUUUUUCAUAUUUUUUGGUCUAACUAACUCCAAAAGGUUGGAAAAGAGUUCCUACAAAGGUUUUGGACAGUGAUUUUAACCCUAACGCCAAAAAACCUUAAACCUUACCCUAGCCCCAAAAUCUAAUACCCGGGUAUUACCUUCAGGAAGCCGAAACACCCCAAAUAUUUUUUUGUUCAUUUUUCUUUUUUUUUUGGUCUAACUAACUCCAAAAGGUUGGAAAAGAGUUCCUACAAAGGUUUUGGACAGUGAUUUUAACCCUAACGCCAAAAAACUUAAACCUUACCCUAGCCUUAAAAUCUAAUACCCGGGUAUUACCUUCAGGAAGCCCAAACACCCCAAAUAUUUUUUUUUCAUUUUACUUUUUUGUUGUUGUAACCAACUCCAAAAGGUUGGAAAAGAGUUCCUACAAAGGUUUUGGACAGUGAUUUUAACCCUAACGCCAAAAACCUUAAACCUUACCCUAGUCCCAAAACCUAAUACCCGGGUAUUACUUUCAGGGAGCCCGAAAACCCCCAAUAAUUUUUUUUUCUUUUUUCAUUUUUGUUGGUGUAACCAACUCCAAAAGGUUGGAAAAGAGUUCCUACAAAGGUUUUGGACAGUGAUUUUAACCCUAACGCCAAAAAACUUAAACCUUACCCUAGCCUUAAAAUCUAAUACCCGGGUAUUACAUUCAGGAAGCCCGAAAACCCCAAAUAUAUAUUUUUUCAUUUUUCAUUUUUUUUUGGUUUAACUAACUCCAAAAGGUUGGAAAAGAGUUCCUACAAAGGUUUUGGACAGUGAUUUUAACCCUAACGCCAAAAAACUUAAACCUUACCCUAGCCUUAAAAUCUAAUACCCGGGUAUUACAUUCAGGAAGCCCGAAAACCCCAAAUAUAUAUUUUUUCAUUUUUCAUUUUUUUUUGGUUAACUAACUCCAAAAGGUUGGAAAGAGUUCCUACAAAGGUUUUGGACAGUGAUUUUAACCCUAACGCCAAAAAACUUAAACCUUACCCUAGCCUUAAAAUCUAAUACCCGGGUAUUACAUUCAGGAAGCCCGAAAACCCCAAAUAUUUUUUUUCAUUUUUCUUUUUUUUUGGUCUAACUAACUCCAAAAGGUUGGAAAAGAGUUCCUACAAAGGUUUUGGACAGUGAUUUUAACCCUAACGCCAAAAACCUUAAACCUUACCCAGCCCCAAAACCUAAUACCCGGGUAUUACCUUCAGGAAGCCCGAACACCCCAAAUAUUUGUUUUUCAUUUUCAUUUUUGUUGGUGUAACCAACUCCAAAAGGUUGGAAAAGAGUUCCUACAAAGGUUUUGGACAGUGAUUUUAACCCUAAUGCCAAAAAACUUAAACCUUACCCUAGCCUCAAAAUCUAAUACCCGGGUAUUACCUUCAGGAAGCCUGAACACCCAAAAUAUUUUAUUCUUCAUCUUACAUUUUUGUUGGUGUAACCAACUCCAAAAGGUUGGAAAAGAGUUCCUACAAAGGUUUUGGACAGUGAUUUUAACCCUAACGCCAAAAAACUUAAACCUUACCCUAGCCUCAAAAUCUAAUACCCGGGUAUUACAUUCAGGAAGCCUGAACACCCCAAAUAUUUUUUUUUCAUUUUUCAUUUUUUUUGGUCUAACUAACUCCAAAAGGUUGGAAAAGAGUUCCUACAAAGGUUUUGGACAGUGAUUUUAACCCUAACGCCAAAAACCUUAAACCUUACCAUGGCCCCAUAACCUAAUACCCGGGUAUUACUUUUAGGAAGCCUGAACACCCCAAAUAUAUUUUUUUUUCAUUUUAAGUUUUUUUUUUUGGUGUAACUAACUCCAAAAGGUUGGAAAAGAGUUCCUACAAAGGUUUUGGACAGUGAUUUUAACCCUAACGCCAAAAAACUUAAACCUUACCCUAGCCUUAAAAUCUAAUACCCGGGUAUUACAUUCAGGAAGCCAGAACACCCCAAAUAUUUUUUUCUUCAUUUUACAUUUUUGUUGGUGUAACCAACUCCAAAAGGUUGGAAAAGAGUUCCUACAAAGGUUUUGGACAGUGAUUUUAACCCUAAUGCCAAAAAACUUAAACCUUACCCUAGCCUCAAAAUCUAAUACCCGGGUAUUACAUUCAGGAACCCCGAAAACCCCAAAUAUUGUUUUUUAAUUUUUCAUUUUUUUUUGGUCUAACUAACUCCAAAAGGUUGGAAAAGAGUUCCUACAAAGGUUUUGGACAGUGAUUUUAACCCUAACGCCAAAAACCUUAAACCUUACCCUAGCCCCAUAACCUAAUUCCCGGGUAUUACCUUCAGGAAGCCCGAACACCCCAAAUAUUUGUUUUUCAUUUUACAUUUUUGUUGGUGUAACCAACUCCAAAAGGUUGGAAAAGAGUUCCUACAAAGGUUUUGGACAGUGAUUUUAACCCUAACCCCUAAAAAUUUAAACCUUACCCUGGCAUUAAAAUCUAAUACCCGGGUAUUACAUUAAGGAAGCCUGAACACCCCAAAUAUUUUUUUUUUCAUUUUUCUUUUUUUUUGGUCUAACUAACUCCAAAAGGUUGGAAAAGAGUUCCUACAAAGGUUUUGGACAGUGAUUUUAACCCUAACGCCAAAAACCUUAAACCUUUCCCUAGUCCCAAAACCUAAUACCCGGGUAUUACUUUCAGGGAGCCCGAAAACCCCCAAUAAUAUUUUUUUCUUUUUUCAUAUUUUUUGGUCUAACUAACUCCAAAAGGUUGGAAAAGAGUUCCUACAAAGGUUUUGGACAGUGAUUUUAACCCUAACGCCAAAAACCUUAAACCUUACCCUAGCCUUAAAAUCUACCUUCGGGCUACCUUCAGGAAGCCCGAACACCCCAAAUAUUUUUUUCUUCAUUUUACAUUUUUGUUGGUGUAACCAACUCCAAAAGGUUGGAAAAGAGUUCCUACAAAGGUUUUGGACAGUGAUAUUAACCUUAACGCCAAAAACCUUAAAACUUACCAUAGCCCCAUAACCUAAUUCCCAGGUAUUACCUUCAGGAAGCCCGAACACCCCAAAUAUUUUUUUUUCAUUUUUCAUUCUUUUUUGGUCUAAUCAACUCCAAAAGGUUGGAAAAGAGUUCCUACAAAGGUUUAUGACAGUGAUUUUAACCCUAACGCCAAAAACCUUAAACCUUACCAUAGCCCCAUAACCUAAUACCUGGAUAUUACUUUUAGGAAGCCUGAACACCCCAAAUAUUUUUUUUUCAUUUUUCUUUUUUUUUUGUCAAACUAACUCCAAAAGGUUGGAAAUGUUCCUACAAAGGUUUUGGACAGUGAUUUUAACCCUAACGCCAAAAACCUUAAAACUUACCCUAGCCCCAUAACCUAAUACCCGGGUAUUACAUUCAGGAAGCCCGAAAACCCCAAAUAUAUAUUUUUUCAUUUUUCUUUUUUUUUCGGUCAAACUAACUCCAAAAGGUUGGAAAAGAGUUCCUACAAAGGUUUUGGACAGUGAUUUUAACCCUAACGCCAAAAACCUUAAACCUUUCCCCAGUCCCAAAACCUAAUACCCGGGUAUUACCUUCAGGAAGCCCGAACACCCCAAAUAUUUGUUUUUCAUUUUACAUUUUUGUUGGUGUAACCAACUCCAAAAGGUUGGAAAAGAGUUCCUACAAAGGUUUUGGACAGUGAUUUUAACCCUAAUGCCAAAAAACUUAAACCUUACCCUAGCCUUGAAAUCUAAUACCCGGGUAUUACCUUCAGGAAGCCUGAACACCCCAAAUAUUUUUUUCUUUUUUCAUAUUUUUUGGUCUAACUAACUCCAAAAGGUUGGAAAAGAGUUCCUACAAAGGUUUUGGACAGUGAUUUUAACCCUAACGCCAAAAACCUUAAACCUUACCCUAGCCUUGAAAUCUAAUACCCGGGUAUUACCUUCAGGAAGCCUGAACACCCAAAAUAUUUUUUUCUUCAUCUUACAUUUUUGUUGGUGUAACCAACUCCAAAAGGUUGGAAAAGAGUUCCUACAAAGGUUUUGGACAGUGAUUUUAACCCUAAUGCCAAAAAACUUAAACCUUACCCUAGCCUCAAAAUCUAAUACCCGGGUAUUACAUUCAGGAACCCCGAAAACCCCAAAUAUUUUUUUUUAAUUUUUCAUUUUUUUUGGUCUAACUAACUCCAAAAGGUUGGAAAAGAGUUCCUACAAAGGUUUUGGACAGUGAUUUUAACCCUAACGCCAAAAAACUUAAACCUUACCAUAGCUCCAUAACCUAAUACCCUGGGUAUUACUUUUAGGAAGCCUGAACACCCCAAAUAUUUUUUUUUUUUCAUUUUUUUGGUCUAACUAACUCCAAAAGGUUGGAAAAGUGUUCCUACAAAGGUUUUGGACAGUGAUUUUAACCCUAACGCCAAAAAACUUAAACCUUACCAUAGCCCCAUAACCUAAUACCUGGGUAUUACUUUUAGGAAGCCUGAACACCCCAAAUAUUUUUUUUUCAUUUUUCUUUUUUUUUUGGUCUAACCAACUCCAAAAGGUUGGAAAAGUGUUCCUACAAAGGUUUUGGACAGUGAUUUUAACCCUAACGCCAAAAACCUUAAACCUUACACUAGCCUUAAAAUCUAAUACCUGGGUAUUACUUUCAGGAAGCCCGAACACCCCAAAUAUUUUUUUUUUCAUUUUACAUUUUUUUUGGUGUAACCAACUCCAAAAGGUUGGAAAAGAGUUCCUACAAAGGUUUUGGACAGUGAUUUUAACCCUAAUGUCAAAAACCUUAAACCUUACCCUAGCCUUAAAAUCUAAUACCCGGGUAUUACAUUCAGGAACCCCGAAAACCCCAAAUAUUGUUUUUUCUUUUUUCAUUUUUUUUUGGUCUAACUAACUCCAAAAGGUUGGAAAAGAGUUCCUACAAAGGUUUUGGACAGUGAUUUUAACCCUAACGCCAAAAACCUUAAACCUUACCCUAGCCUUAAAAUCUACCUUCGGGCUACCUUCAGGAAGCCCGAACACCCCAAAUAUUUUUUUCUUCAUUUUACAUUUUUGUUGGUGUAACCAACUCCAAAAGGUUGGAAAAGAGUUCCUACAAAGGUUUUGGACAGUGAUUUUAACCCUAACGCCAAAAACCUUAAACCUUACCCUAGCCUUGAAAUCUAAUACCCGGGUAUUACCUUCAGGAAGCCUGAACACCCCAAAUAUUUUUUUCUUUUUUCAUAUUUUUUGGUCUAACUAACUCCAAAAGGUUGGAAAAGAGUUCCUACAAAGGUUUUGGACAGUGAUUUUAACCCUUACGCCAAAAACCUUAAACCUUUCCCCAGUCCCAAAACCUAAUACCCGGGUAUUACCUUCAGGAAGCCCGAACACCCCAAAUAUUUGUUUUUCAUUUUACAUUUUUGUUGGUGUAACCAACUCCAAAAGGUUGGAAAAGAGUUCCUACAAAGGUUUUGGACAGUGAUUUUAACCCUAACGCCAAAAACCUUAAACCUUUCCCCAGUCCCAAAACCUAAUACCCGGGUAUUACCUUCAGGAAGCCCGAACACCCCAAAUAUUUGUUUUUCAUUUUACAUUUUUUUUGGUGUAACCAACUCCAAAAGGUUGGAAAAGAGUUCCUACAAAGGUUUUGGACAGUGAUUUUAACCCUAAUGCCAAAAACCUUAAACCUUACCCUAGCCUUAAAAUCUAAUACCCGGGUAUUACAUUCAGGAACCCCGAAAACCCCAAAUAUUGUUUUUUCUUUUUUCAUUUUUUUUUGGUCUAACUAACUCCAAAAGGUUGGAAAAGUGUUCCUACAAAGGUUUUGGACAGUGAUUUUAACCCUAACGCCAAAAACCUUAAACCUUACCCUAGCCUUAAAAUCUACCUUCGGGCUACCUUCAGGAAGCCCGAACACCCCAAAUAUUUUUUUCUUCAUUUUACAUUUUUGUUGGUGUAACCAACUCCAAAAGGUUGGAAAAGAGUUCCUACAAAGGUUUUGGACAGUGAUUUUAACCCUAACGCCAAAAACCUUAAACCUUACCCUAGCCUUGAAAUCUAAUACCCGGGUAUUACCUUCAGGAAGCCUGAACACCCCAAAUAUUUUUUCUUUUUUCAUAUUUUUUGGUCUAACUAACUCCAAAAGGUUGGAAAAGAGUUCCUACAAAGGUUUUGGACAGUGAUUUUAACCCUAACGCCAAAAACCUUAAACCUUUCCCCAGUCCCAAAACCUAAUACCCGGGUAUUACCUUCAGGAAGCCCGAACACCCCAAAUAUUUGUUUUUCAUUUUACAUUUUUGUUGUUGUAACCAACUCCAAAAGGUUGGAAAAGAGUUCCUACAAAGGUUUUGGACAGUGAUUUUAACCCUAACGCCAAAAACCUUAAACCUUUCCCCAGUCCCAAAACCUAAUACCCGGGUAUUACCUUCAGGAAGCCCGAACACCCCAAAUAUUUGUUUUUCAUUUUACAUUUUUGUUGGUGUAACCAACUCCAAAAGGUUGGAAAAGAGUUCCUACAAAGGUUUUGGACAGUGAUUUUAACCCUAAUGCCAAAAAACUUAAACCUUACCCUAGCCUUGAAAUCUAAUACCCGGGUAUUACCUUCAGGAAGCCUGAACACCCAAAAUAUUUUUUUCUUCAUCUUACAUUUUUGUUGGUGUAACCAACUCCAAAAGGUUGGAAAAGAGUUCCUACAAAGGUUUUGGACAGUGAUUUUAACCCUAAUGCCAAAAAACUUAAACCUUACCCUAGCCUCAAAAUCUAAUACCCGGGUAUUACAUUCAGGAACCCCGAAAACCCCAAAUAUUGUUUUUUAAUUUUUCAUUUUUUUUUGGUCUAACUAACUCCAAAAGGUUGGAAAAGAGUUCCUACAAAGGUUUUGGACAGUGAUUUUAACCCUAACGCCAAAAAACUUAAACCUUACCAUAGCCCCAUAACCUAAUACCUGGGUAUUACUUUUAGGAAGCCUGAACACCCCAAAUAUUUUUUUUUCAUUUUUCUUUUUUUUUUGGUCUAACCAACUCCAAAAGGUUGGAAAAGUGUUCCUACAAAGGUUUUGGACAGUGAUUUUAACCCUAACGCCAAAAAACUUAAACCUUACCCUGGCCUUAAAAUCUAAUACCUGGGUAUUACUUUCAGGAAGCCCGAACACCCCAAAUAUUUUUUUUUUUCAUUUUACAUUUUUUUUGGUGUAACCAACUCCAAAAGGUUGGAAAAGAGUUCCUACAAAGGUUUUGGACAGUGAUUUUAACCCUAAUGCCAAAAAACUUAAACCUUACCCUAGCCUUAAAAUCUAAUACCCGGGUAUUACAUUCAGGAACCCCGAAAACCCCAAAUAUUGUUUUUUCAUUUUUCAUUUUUUUUUUGGUCUAACUAACUCCAAAAGGUUGGAAAAGAGUUCCUACAAAGGUUUUGGACAGUGAUUUUAACCCUAACGCCAAAAACCUUAAACCUUACCAUAGCCCCAUAACCUAAUACCCAGGUAUUACUUUUAGGAAGCCUGAACACCCCAAAUAUUUUUUUUUCAUUUUUCUUUUUUUUUGGUCUAACUAACUCCAAAAGGUUGGUAAAGAGUUCCUACAAAGGUUUUGGACAGUGAUUUUAACCCUAACGCCAAAAAACUUAACCCUUACCCGAGCCUUAAAAUCUAAUACAUUACCUUCAGGAAGCCCGAACACCCCAAAUAUUUUUUUUUUCAUUUUACAUUUUUUUUGGUGGAACCAACUCCAAAAGGUUGGAAAAGAGUUCCUACAAAGGUUUUGGACAGUGAUUUUAACCCUAACGCCAAAAACCUUAAACCUUACCCUAGCCUUGAAAUCUAAUACCCGGGUAUUACCUUCAGGAAGCCUGAACACCCCAAAUUUUUUUUUCUUUUUUCAUAUUUUUUGGUCUAACUAACUCCAAAAGGUUGGAAAAGAGUUCCUACAAAGGUUUUGGGACAGUGAUUGUAACCCUAACGCCAAAAAACUUAAACCUUACCCUAGCCUUAAAAUCUAAUACCCGGGUAUUACCUUCAGGAAGCCCAAACACCCCAAAUAUUUUUUUUUCAUUUUACUUUUUUGUUGUUGUAACCAACUCCAAAUGGUUGGAAAAGAGUUCCUACAAAGGUUUUGGACAGUGAUUGUAACCCUAACGCCAAAAAACUUAAACCUUACCCUAGCCUUAAAAUCUAAUACCCGGGUAUUACCUUCAGGAAGCCCAAACACCCCAAAUAUUUUUUUUUCAUUUUACUUUUUUGUUGUUGUAACCAACUCCAAAAGGUUGGAAAAGAGUUCCUACAAAGGUUUUGGACAGUGAUUUUAACCCUAACGCCAAAAACCUUAAACCUUUCCCUAGUCCCAAAACCUAAUACCCGGGUAUUACUUUCAGGGAGCCCGAAAACCCCCAAUAAUUUUUUUUUCUUUUUUCAUUUUUGUUGGUGUAACCAACUCCAAAAGGUUGGAAAAGAGUUCCUACAAAGGUUUUGGACAGUGAUUUUAACCCUAACGCCAAAAAACUUAAACCUUACCCUAGCCUUAAAAUCUAAUACCCGGGUAUUACAUUCAGGAAGCCCGAAAACCCCAAAUAUAUAUUUUUUCAUUUUUCAUUUUUUUUUUGGUUUAACUAACUCCAAAAGGUUGGAAAAGAGUUCCUACAAAGGUUUUGGACAGUGAUUUUAACCCUAACGCCAAAAAACUUAAACCUUACCCUAGCCUUAAAAUCUAAUACCCGGGUAUUACAUUCAGGAAGCCCGAAAACCCCAAAUAUAUAUUUUUUCAUUUUUCAUUUUUUUUUGGUUUAUCUAAUUCCAAAAGGUUGGAAGAGUGUUCCUACAAAGGUUUUGGACAGGGAUUUUAACCCUAACGCCAAAAAACUUAAACCUUACUCUAGCCUUAAAAUCUAAUACCCGGGUAUUACAUUCAUGAAGCCCGAAAACCCCAAAUAUAUAUUUUUUCAUUUUUCUUUUUUUUUUGGUCAAACUAACUCCAAAAGGUUGGAAAAGAGUUCCUACAAAGGUUUUGGACAGUGAUUUUAACCCUAACGCCAAAAACCUUAAACCUUUCCCCAGUCCCAAAACCUAAUACCCGGGUAUUACCUUCAGGAAGCCGGAACACCCCAAAUAUUUGUUUUUCAUUUUACAUUUUUGUUGGUGUAACCAACUCCAAAAGGUUGGAAAAGAGUUCCUACAAAGGUUUUGGACAGUGAUUUUAACCCUAAUGCCAAAAAACUUAAACCUUACCCUAGCCUCAAAAUCUAAUACCCGAGUAUUACCUUCAGGAAGCCUGAACACCCAAAAUAUUUUUUUCUUCAUCUUACAUUUUUGUUGGUGUAACCAACUCCAAAAGGUUGGAAAAGAGUUCCUACAAAGGUUUUGGACAGUGAUUUUAACCCUAAUGCCAAAAAACUUAAACCUUACCCUAGCCUCAAAAUCUAAUACCCGGGUAUUACAUUAAGGAAGCCUGAACACCCCAAAUAUUUUUUUUUCAUUUUUCAUUUUUUUUGGUCUAACUAAGUCCAAAAGGUUGGAAAAGAGUUCCUACAAAGGUUUUGGACAGUGAUUUUAACCCUAACGCCAAAAACCUUAAACCUUACCAUGGCCCCAUAACCUAAUACCCGGGUAUUACUUUUAGGAAGCCUGAACACCCCAAAUAUAUAUUUUUUUCAUUUUAAGUUUUUGUUGGUGUAACCAACUCCAAAAGGUUGGAAAAGAGUUCCUACAAAGGUUUUGGACAGUGAUUGUAACCCUAACGCCAAAAAACUUAAACCUUACCCUAGCCUUAAAAUCUAAUACCCGGGUAUUACCUUCAGGAAGCCCAAACACCCCAAAUAUUUUUUUCAUUUUACUUUUUUGUUGUUGUAACCAACUCCAAAAGGUUGGAAAAGAGUUCCUACAAAGGUUUUGGACAGUGAUUUUAACCCUAACGCCAAAAACCUUAAACCUUUCCCUAGUCCCAAAACCUAAUACCCGGGUAUUACUUUCAGGGAGCCCGAAAACCCCCAAUAAUUUUUUUUUCUUUUUUCAUUUUUUUUGGUGUAACCAACUCCAAAAGGUUGGAAAAGAGUUCCUACAAAGGUUUUGGACAGUGAUUUUAACCCUAACGCCAAAAAACUUAAACCUUACCCUAGCCUUAAAAUCUAAUACCGGGGUAUUACCUUCAGGAAGCCCGAACACCCCAAAUAUUUUUUUGUUCAUUUUACAUUUUUGUUGGUGUAACCAACUCCAAAAGGUUGGAAAAGAGUUCCUACAAAGGUUUUGGACAGUGAUUUUAACCCUAACGCCAAAAAACUUAAACCUUACCCUAGCCUUAAAAUCUAAUACCCGGGUAUUACAUUCAGGAAGCCCGAAAACCCCAAAUAUAUAUUUUUUCAUUUUUCAUUUUUUUUUUGGUUUAUCUAAUUCCAAAAGGUUGGAAAAGUGUUCCUACAAAGGUUUUGGACAGGGAUUUUAACCCUAACGCCAAAAAACUUAAACCUUACCCUAGCCUUAAAAUCUAAUACCCGGGUAUUACAUUCAGGAAGCCCGAAAACCCCAAAUAUAUAUUUUUUCAUUUUUCUUUUUUUUUCGGUCAAACUAACUCCAAAAGGUUGGAAAAGAGUUCCUACAAAGGUUUUGGACAGUGAUUUUAACCCUAACGCCAAAAACCUUAAACCUUUCCCCAGUCCCAAAACCUAAUACCCGGGUAUUACCUUCAGGAAGCCGGAACACCCCAAAUAUUUGUUUUUCAUUUUACAUUUUUGUUGGUGUAACCAACUCCAAAAGGUUGGAAAAGAGUUCCUACAAAGGUUUUGGACAGUGAUUUUAACCCUAAUGCCAAAAAACUUAAACCUUACCCUAGCCUCAAAAUCUAAUACCCGGGUAUUACAUUCAGGAACCCCGAAAUCCCCAAAUAUUGUUUUUUAAUUUUUCAUUUUUUUUUGUCUAACUAACUCCAAAAGGUUGGAAAAGAGUUCCUACAAAGGUUUUGGACAGUGAUUUUAACCCUAACGCCAAAAAACUUAAACCUUACCAUAGCCCCAUAACCUAAUACCUGGGUAUUACUUUUAGGAAGCCUGAACACCCCAAAUAUUUUUUUUUCAUUUUUCUUUUUUUUUUGGUCUAACCAACUCCAAAAGGUUGGAAAAGUGUUCCUACAAAGGUUUUGGACAGUGAUUUUAACCCUAACGCCAAAAAACUUAAACCUUACCCUGGCCUUAAAAUCUAAUACCUGGGUAUUACUUUCAGGAAGCCCGAACACCCCAAAUAUUUUUUUUUUUCAUUUUACAUUUUUUUUGGUGUAACCAACUCCAAAAGGUUGGAAAAGAGUUCCUACAAAGGUUUUGGACAGUGAUUUUAACCCUAAUGCCAAAAAACUUAAACCUUACCCUAGCCUUAAAAUCUAAUACCUGGGUAUUACAUUCAGGAACCCCGAAAACCCCAAAUAUUGUUUUUUCAUUUUUCAUUUUUUUUUGGUCUAACUAACUCCAAAAGGUUGGAAAAGAGUUCCUACAAAGGUUUUGGACAGUGAUUUUAACCCUAACGCCAAAAACCUUAAACCUUACCAUAGCCCCAUAACCUAAUACCCAGGUAUUACUUUUAGGAAGCCUGAACACCCCAAAUAUUUUUUUUUUCAUUUUACAUUUUUUUUUGGUGUAACCAACUCCAAAAGGUUGGAAAAGAGUUCCUACAAAGGUUUUGGACAGUGAUUUUAACCCUAACGCCAAAAACCUUAAACCUUACCCUAGCCUUGAAAUCUAAUACCCGGGUAUUACCUUCAGGAAGCCUGAACACCCCAAAUAUUUUUUUCUUUUUUCAUAUUUUUUGGUCUAACUAACUCCAAAAGGUUGGAAAAGAGUUCCUACAAAGGUUUUGGACAGUGAUUUUAACCCUAACGCCAAAAACCUUAAACCUUUCCCCAGUCCCAAAACCUAAUACCCGGGUAUUACCUUCAGGAAGCCCGAACACCCCAAAUAUUUGUUUUUCAUUUUACAUUUUUGUUGUUGUAACCAACUCCAAAAGGUUGGAAAAGAGUUCCUACAAAGGUUUUGGACAGUGAUUUUAACCCUAACGCCAAAAACCUUAAACCUUACCCUAGUCCCAAAACCUAAUACCCGGGUAUUACCUUCAGGAAGCCCGAACACCCCAAAUAUAUUUUUUUUCAUUUUACAUUUUUGUUGGUGUAACCAACUCCAAAAGGUUGGAAAAGAGUUCCUACAAAGGUUUUGGACAGUGAUUUUAACCCUAACGCCAAAAAACCUUAAACCUUACCCUAGCCUUGAAAUCUAAUACCCGGGUAUUACCUUCAGGAAGCCUGAACACCCAAAAUAUUUUUUUCUUCAUCUUACAUUUUUGUUGGUCUAACUAACUCCAAAAGGUUGGAAAAGAGUUCCUACAAAGGUUUUGGACAGUGAUUUUAACCCUAAUGCCAAAAAACUUAAACCUUACCCUAGCCUCAAAAUCUAAUACCCGGGUAUUACAUUCAGGAACCCCGAAAACCCCAAAUAUUGUUUUUUAAUUUUUCAUUUUUUUUUGGUCUAACUAACUCCAAAAGGUUGGAAAAGAGUUCCUACAAAGGUUUUGGACAGUGAUUUUAACCCUAACGCCAAAAAACUUAAACCUUACCAUAGCCCCAUAACCUAAUACCUGGGUAUUACUUUUAGGAAGCCUGAACACCCCAAAUAUUUUUUUUUCAUUUUUCUUUUUUUUUUGGUCUAACCAACUCCAAAAGGUUGGAAAAGUGUUCCUACAAAGGUUUUGGACAGUGAUUUUAACCCUAACGCCAAAAAACUUAAACCUUACCCUGGCCUUAAAAUAAUACCUGGGUAUUACUUUCAGGAAGCCCGAACACCCCAAAUAUUUUUUUUUCAUUUUACAUUUUUUUUGGUGUAACCAACUCCAAAAGGUUGGAAAAGAGUUCCUACAAAGGUUUUGGACAGUGAUUUUAACCCUAAUGCCAAAAAACUUAAACCUUACCCUAGCCUUAAAAUCUAAUACCCGGGUAUUACAUUCAGGAACCCCGAAAACCCCAAAUAUUGUUUUUUCAUUUUUCAUUUUUUUUUGGUCUAACUAACUCCAAAAGGUUGGAAAAGAGUUCCUACAAAGGUUUUGGACAGUGAUUUUAACCCUAACGCCAAAAACCUUAAACCUUACCAUAGCCCCAUAACCUAAUACCCAGGUAUUACUUUUAGGAAGCCUGAACACCCCAAAUAUUUUUUUUUCAUUUUUCUUUUUUUUUUUGGUCUAACUAACUCCAAAAGGUUGGAAAAGAGUUCCUACAAAGGUUUUGGACAGUGAUUUUAACCCUAACGCCAAAAACUUAAACCUUACCAUAGCCCCAAAACCUAAUACCCGGGUAUUACUUUCAGGAAGCCCGAACACCCCAAAUAUUUUUUUUUCAUUUUACAUUUUUUUUGGUGUAACCAACUCCAAAAGGUUGGAAAAGAGUUCCUACAAAGGUUUUGGACAGUGAUUUUAACCCUAACGCCAAAAACCUUAAACCUUACCCUAGCCUUGAAAUCUAAUACCCGGGUAUUACCUUCAGGAAGCCUGAACACCCCAAAUAUUUUUUUCUUUUUUCAUAUUUUUUGGUCUAACUAACUCCAAAAGGUUGGAAAAGAGUUCCUACAAAGGUUUUGGACAGUGAUUUUAACCCUAACGCCAAA